AUGCCCAAACCUCUCCGGCCGCGUCCGGCGGAGCGGCUGCGGGCGCGGCUGCGGCGGCUGCGGCGCGCGGCGCGGGCGCUGGUGCUGGAGAACGCGGCGCUCUGCGACGAGCUGGCGCGCCUCGAGGCCAAGUGGACGUUGGCCCGCGGCCAGCGGCGAUUCCUGCUCGGACGGCUGCUCGGACACCGCGCGGCGGCCGCAGAAACGGCCGGAGAAACGGCCGGAGAGGCGGUCAAGCGGCCGCGGAGAGCUCGGACGGCCGCGGGGAGGGGGAGGGGCGGAAGGGGUGGCUCAAGGGAUGACCAGUGGUCAGCGGGGGUGAAGGAUGACCAGUGGUCAGCGAAAAAUGACCAGUGGUCAGCAAAAAGUGACCAGUGGUCAGCGGGGCCCAAGGAUGACCAGUGGUCAGCAAAAGGUGACCAGUGGUCAGCAGGGCCAAAGGAUGACCAAUGGUCAGCAAAAGGUGACCAGUGGUCAGCGAAAGGUGACCAAUGGUCAACGGGGGCAAAGAAUGACCAGUGGUCAGCCAAAGGUGACCAGUGGUCAGCAGGGCCCAAAAAUGACCAGUGGUCAGCAAAAAAUGACCAGUGGUCAGCAGGGCCCAAAGAUGACCAGUGGUCAGCAAAAGAUGACCAGUGGUCAGCUGGAGGAAGAGCCCGGCCGAAGGAUGACCAAUGGUCAGCAAAAGGUGACCAGUGGUCAGCGACAGUCAAGGAUGAGCAGUGGUCAGCGGGGUCAAAAGAUGACCAGUGGUCAGUGAAGGUGAAGGAGGAGCCGUGGUCAGCGGGACCGAAGGAUGACCAGUGGUCAGCUGGAGGAAGAGCCCAGCCAAAGGAUGACCAGUGGUCAGCAACGGUCAAGGAUGAGCAGUGGUCAUCGGGGUCAAAAGAUGACCAGUGGUCAGCUGGAGGAAGAGCCGGACCCAAGGAUGACCAGUGGUCAGUGAAGGUGAAGGACGAGCCGUGGUCAGCCAAGGAUGACCAGUGGUCAGCGGGGCCGAAGGAUGACCAGUGGUCAGCUGGAGGAGGAGAUGGGGUGAAGAAUGACCAGUGGUCAGCGGGGCCGAAGGAUGACCAGUGGUCAGUGAAGGUCAAGGACGAGCCGUGGUCAGCGGGGCCGAAGGAUGACCAGUGGUCAGCGAAAGAUGACCAGUGGUCAGUGAAGGUGAAGGAGGAACAGUGGUCAGCGGGGUCAAAAGAUGACCAGUGGUCAGCGGGGCCAAAGGAUGACCAGUGGUCAGUGAAGGUGAAGGAGGAGCAGUGGUCAGCGGGGCCAAAGGAUGACCAGUGGUCAGUGAAGGUGAAGGAGGAGCCGUGGUCAGCCAAGGAUGACCAGUGGUCAGCGGGGCCCAAGGAUGACCAGUGGUCAGCGGGGCUGCAAGAUGACCAGUGGUCAGCUGAAGGACGGCCCGGCCGGAGCGAUGACCAGUGGUCAGCUGGAGGAAGGCCCGGCCGGAGCGAUGACCAGUGGUCAGCUGGAGGACGGCCUGGCCGGAGCGAUGACCAGUGGUCAGCUGGAGGACGGCCUGGCCGGAGCGAUGACCAGUGGUCAGCUGGAGGACGGCCCGGCCGGAGCGAUGACCAGUGGUCAGCGGGCUCCGGAGAUGACCGGUGGUCAAGCGGCCGAGCGGCGGCCGGAGAUGACCGCAGGCCCGAGGGAGGCGGCGCUGACCGCUCGGCCGCCGGCCGGCCGGAGGAGGAGGAGGAGGAGGAUGACCACGAUGACCACGAUGACCACGAUGACCACGAGGAGGACGAUGAUGACGAUGAGGAGGACGAAGGCUCCGCUCCGGCCUUUGGCUACUCCGGCCUCUUCCUGGCCAGUCCGGCCGGCUCGGACGACUGA
Molecule: long non-coding RNA, 1845 nt
Filed under: Taeniopygia guttata (zebra finch)
Lineage: Eukaryota; Metazoa; Chordata; Aves; Passeriformes; Estrildidae
Description: lncRNA (ENSTGUG00000027842.1)
Source: RNAcentral